UUGAAGGGAGUGACCAGCCAUUGGAAACCCUGGAUGACCAGGAUCUUGGGCAGGAUGAAGGUUCCAGAACGGGCCUGCCUGCCCCACUCCCUGUGGCCAGGCCACCCAGAGCAGUUUCCGGAGUGACGCUCCUCCCCUGCCCACCACCCCACCCUCGGGCUUUGGCUGCCUUUGUCUUCCAAGGGCUCCACAAAAUGGCUGCCACGGCCCUCCGCCAUUUUGUAACUGCGGCGGGCAGUGUCCUCGGGAGGGGAGAAGGGAGGGAGGGCGACCCCUGCUCACUGCCUGCCCUCGUGGCCUGGACAGAGCCCAGCACCAGCCCCGCCUGCCCGGCCUUGGCCAUGGCCACCCCAGGCUUGGCACAGCCACUUGGCAGGGAGGCUGGGAGGCCUGGCCCCUCACCCAGUCCUGCCAGCCCCUCGCCACCCCGAGGCAGGCCGCACACCAGAGCCCAGGAGCGGGUCCCUGAGGCCACGCCACAGAGGGAGUCCUCGGCAGUGGUGGGGCAGGUUUGCUUCAGGAUCCGGCAGGGAGGGAAGAGUACCCUCUGGGCCCCACCCGCCCCUUCAUACUGCUGACCUGGCCGAGGACCUCGGGGCUCCCUGGUCAGACACAGUUCCCAAUGCUGUGCUCCUGCAGUGGUCAGUCGGGCCACUGACCUGGGCCAGGCUCUGCCCAUCCUUGGGGAAACAGGCUGGGGGCUUCCUGAAGGAGGCAAGCCCUGGGCUGCUGAGGUUCUAGAAUGAGCCAAGUGGGGCGAGCUGUCCCCCAGCCACCAGCUUCCACAGCCUCCCCUGUCCCUGCCCAGCUCGUGUGUCCAGCAACCUCAGCCAGCAGGCACGUCCUCUGGGCCUGCUCCUGGCUCUCUAGUGUGUUGAUCCUGUGACUUCCCCAUACCCGGCCGACCAGAAGCAGCAUGGUACUGGGGGUUCACCCCAGGGGAGGUUGAGCCCUGGCCCUGUUCACUAAGGCCUCAGUAACUUGCUUAGGGCCUCUGUCAGUUAAUGAGGCUGGCCUUGAACUUGUGACCCUCUUGUCUCAGCCCCUCCAGCGGCUGGAUGACAGGAGUGUGCCAUGGUGCCUGACAAGGCCUGGUUCUCCCAAGGUGGAAGGGAGCAGGCCCUGUCCCUGCUUGCCUGCGACCAUUACCAAGAAGGCCCUCAGAAGUCGGUGGAAGCUCCUCUGCAAAGUAGGGAGGAUGCUGAAAAGUGCCCAAAGGAUGGCACCCCGCCUGUGGGCAGCACCCCACGUCCUGUGAGGCUGGGCUGGGGUCUCCCCAAGCCCUUCCCAGGCUCCACUUCUGCAAUUCCCAGAUGGAACGUUCUGUCACCCCAAAGGGAAGUUGGCACAGGUCCUCCCUCCAGGGAGACCAGCUGAAGACAGAACGAUGGGAUGCCCUCCGCCGCCCAGCUGCCCAGCCCAUCGCUGUCCACAUGCCACAGCAGGCCUGGAGCCUCCUGGGAGUUCAGCCGCCCAGGCUUCCCUCGCAGGAGGAGCUCCCCAGAGAAGGGCCGCCGGGCGGGCAGGGCCUAAGGAGAACCAGGCUGGGCUGCAGACGGCCGCACGAGGAGGGCAGGCCUCAGGUCUGACUCAGGGUGCCAGGCAGGGGCUCCACCCGGAGAUGCCACCCUCCUCUGCCUGCGCUGGGUGCUCAGGGCCAGGGAAAUCUGGGGACGAAGAAGUCCAGAUGUUUG
RNAcentral lists this long non-coding RNA (1694 nucleotides) under Marmota monax (woodchuck). The record is from RNAcentral. Lineage: Eukaryota; Metazoa; Chordata; Mammalia; Rodentia; Sciuridae.